Molecule: ribosomal RNA, 564 nt
Filed under: Calothrix brevissima AUS-JR/DB/NT-026
Lineage: Bacteria; Bacillati; Cyanobacteriota; Cyanophyceae; Nostocales; Calotrichaceae
Description: bacterial SSU rRNA
Rfam family: Bacterial small subunit ribosomal RNA
Source: RNAcentral
CGAACGCGUGAGAAUCUAGCUUUAGGUCGGGGACAACCACUGGAAACGGUGGCUAAUACCGGAUGUGCCGGAAGGUGAAAGAUUAAUUGCCUAGAGAUGAGCUCGCGUCUGAUUAGCUAGUAGGUGUGGUAAGAGCGCACCUAGGCGACGAUCAGUAGCUGGUCUGAGAGGAUGAUCAGCCACACUGGGACUGAGACACGGCCCAGACUCCUACGGGAGGCAGCAGUGGGGAAUUUUCCGCAAUGGGCGAAAGCCUGACGGAGCAAUACCGCGUGAGGGAGGAAGGCUCUUGGGUUGUAAACCUCUUUUCUCAGGGAAGAAAAAAAUGACGGUACCUGAGGAAUAAGCAUCGGCUAACUCCGUGCCAGCAGCCGCGGUAAUACGGAGGAUGCAAGCGUUAUCCGGAAUGAUUGGGCGUAAAGCGUCCGCAGGUGGCUAUGUAAGUCUGCUGUUAAAGAGUGAGGCUCAACCUCAUAAGAGCAGUGGAAACUACAUAGCUAGAGUGCGUUCGGGGCAGAGGGAAUUCCUGGUGUAGCGGUGAAAUGCGUAGAGAUCAGGAAGAAC